GAAAAGAUUGUAUCAGAAUAUAAGGUGCAAGCUCUCGGAUUACCUCAUUUUUGGCAUGAUUUUGCUAAUUAUGGGUUGCACCUCCUCCACAUUGCUACCGUACUUCACAUUUGUCUCUUUUCUCUAAAAUAGUGAGCUUGUUUCAAUUAAUUUGUAUAUUCUCUUGUUGCCUUGUCAAGAAAAUUAGUCGAAGCAAAUAUCAUGAUUCCUCUAUUUUUUUUGAUUACUAAAUAAUUUUGAAUGUAGUUUCGUUCAGAUGUUUCCAGGUUUUAUUUUUUGGAGUCUGAAUAUACUCAGUCUGAAUGUUGAUUUAUUAAUAAUGUGCAACAAUGAAAAUGUGACACUAAACUCUCUAAAUUUUGUUACUGAAUCUGGCGUUGUCAAGUUAUCAGUGGAACAUAUUAUAGAUAUGUUUGCGCAGUCUGGAUCUACUUACGUAUGAUUUGGGACCUUGUUCUGGAGAUCAUGUAUUGUUUGAUGUGUGCUAAUAUAUUUUUAAUAUUAGUUCAAGUAAUAUUUGAAACGCAUGUAGUACCAAUUCAAAUAUCGGUAAUAAUGUAUGAAAUAUGUAUUUAGUUCUGUGAACUUGUGGCAUACGACCAAAAGAGAUGACUAGUUCUAGAUAUUACGCAUGCUUGUGGAUUUUGUGAUCCUACUUUUUCUCUUUCUCUCUUUUUUCUUUCUGGAAGUGGUCCAUUGAGUUAAAAUUCAUUUCAAGGGAUUGUGAUUCACGUUACUGCUUUACCUUGUGACUACUCCUUCACAUUUAAGUAAUAUAUAUGAAUUGUUUAUAUCUUCAUUUCUAUUGUCCCUUCUCCCUUCCUCUAUAUUCUAGAAAAGAACAUAUAUUAUGGAUGAUGACUAAUUCAUGGGUCCGGGGAGCUGGCCUUUAGAGUCAUUUUGUUCUAGAAAAGGAAAUAAUUUAACUGAGUAUGUAAAUCUGGCUAACAUGAUCAAGAGGGCUGGAACUACUGUAGUUGGAAAAACUAAUAAGAAGCGGAUUUUUAUGGAAAUUGAGGUCAAGUAUCGACUUAAACAUGCUCGACUUUUGGAUUGAUGAUUUCAUAAAGAUUUAUUGCAAAUUUACUGGAGAUUUUAAUUCCAUUUCAGUUAGGAGUUUAUUAGCUGAUUUUAUGUUGAGAUU
Molecule: long non-coding RNA, 1144 nt
Organism: Solanum pennellii
Lineage: Eukaryota; Viridiplantae; Streptophyta; Magnoliopsida; Solanales; Solanaceae
Exons: 3
Source: RefSeq, a predicted model, not a curated record